Molecule: ribosomal RNA, 432 nt
Filed under: uncultured bacterium
Lineage: Bacteria
Description: partial 16S ribosomal RNA
Rfam family: Bacterial small subunit ribosomal RNA
Source: RNAcentral
AACGAACGCUGGCGGCAUGCCUAACACAUGCAAGUCGAACGAGACCUGCGGGUACUGUUGCGCACGGGUGCGUCAGGGGACGGAACAUGCACUUAGGGUCGGUAUACCUCUCCGCAAGGGGUGCUAAUACGGGAUAAUGUCUACGGCCCCAUGAUUUAUUGCCUUUGGAUGGGCCCGCGUUGGAUUAGCUAGUUGGUAGGGCAAAAGCCUACCAAGGCGACGUUCCAUAGCUGGUCUGAGAGGAUGAUCAGCCACACUGGGACCGAGGCACGGCCCAGACUCCGACGGGAGGCAGCAGUGGGGAAGAGUGGACAAGGGGCGAAAGACGGAUCCAGCAAUGCCGCGUGAGUGAUGAAGGCCUUAGGGUUGUAAAGCUCUUUUACCCGGGAUGAUAAGGACAGAACCGGGAGAAUAAGCACCGGCUAACUCCGU